Molecule: ribosomal RNA, 304 nt
Filed under: uncultured bacterium
Lineage: Bacteria
Description: partial 16S ribosomal RNA
Rfam family: Bacterial small subunit ribosomal RNA
Source: RNAcentral
CAGCAGUAGCCGCGGGAAUACAGAGGGUGCGAGCGUUAAUCGGAUUUACUGGGCGUAAAGCGUGCGUAGGCGGCUUUUUAAGUCGGAUGUGAAAUCCCUGAGCUUAACUUAGGAAUUGCAUUCGAUACUGGGAAGCUAGAGUAUGGGAGAGGAUGGUAGAAUUCCAGGUGUAGCGGUGAAAUGCGUAGAGAUCUGGAGGAAUACCGAUGGCGAAGGCAGCCAUCUGGCCUAAUACUGACGCUGAGGUACGAAAGCAUGGGGAGCAAACAGGAUUAGAUACCCCAGUAGUCCCUGUCUCUUAUAA